UACGGUGAAUACGUUCCCGGACCUUGCACACACCGCCCGUCAAGCCAUGGAAGCCGGGUGUACGUAAAGUCGGUAACCGUAAGGAGCCGCCUAGGGUAAAACUGGUGACUGGGGCU
RNAcentral lists this ribosomal RNA (116 nucleotides) under uncultured bacterium. RNAcentral describes it as "partial 16S ribosomal RNA". It matches the Rfam family "Bacterial small subunit ribosomal RNA", at positions 1358 to 1482 of the family's 1533-position model. The record is from RNAcentral.